GACGAACGCUGGCGGCGUGCUUAACACAUGCAAGUCGAACGGAAAGGCCCUGCUUUUGUGGGGUGCUCGAGUGGCGAACGGGUGAGUAACACGUGAGUAACCUGCCCUUGACUUUGGGAUAACUUCAGGAAACUGGGGCUAAUACCGGAUAGGAGCUCCUGCUGCAUGGUGGGGGUUGGAAAGUUUCGGCGGUUGGGGAUGGACUCGCGGCUUAUCAGCUUGUUGGUGGGGUAGUGGCUUACCAAGGCUUUGACGGGUAGCCGGCCUGAGAGGGUGACCGGCCACAUGGGGGCGGGGAAACGGCCCAGACCCCCGCGGGGGGAAGGAGGGGGGAAUUUUGCAAAAGGGGGGGAGGCUGGAGGCAGCAACGCCGGGGGGGGGAGGGGGGCCUUCGGGUGGAAAACCGUUUUCCCCUGGGACGAAGGGUGAGGGAGGGGAAUGGUGAAAGAAGAACGGGUAAAUUAGGG
This 467-nucleotide ribosomal RNA is filed under the name uncultured bacterium. RNAcentral's name for it is "partial 16S ribosomal RNA". It matches the Rfam family "Bacterial small subunit ribosomal RNA", at positions 28 to 506 of the family's 1533-position model. The record is from RNAcentral.